This 478-nucleotide ribosomal RNA is filed under the name uncultured bacterium. Its description in RNAcentral is "partial 16S ribosomal RNA". It matches the Rfam family "Bacterial small subunit ribosomal RNA", at positions 28 to 523 of the family's 1533-position model. The record is from RNAcentral.
GACGAACGCUGGCGGCGCGCUUAACACAUGCAAGUCGAACGGUAAGGCCCUUCGGGGUACACGAGUGGCGAACGGGUGAGUAACACGUGGGUGAUCUGCCCUGCACUUCGGGAUAAGCCUGGGAAACUGGGUCUAAUACCGGAUAGGACCACUGCCUGCAUGGGUGGUGGUGGAAAGCUUUUGCGGUGUGGGAUGGGCCCGCGGCCUAUCAGCUUGUUGGUGGGGUGAUGGCCUACCAGGGCGACGACGGGUAGCCGGCCUGAGAGGGUGACCGGCCACACUGGGACUGAGAUACGGACCAGACUCCUACGGGAGGCAGCAGUGGGGAAUAUUGCACAAUGGGCGCAAGCCUGAUGCAGCGACGCCGCGUGAGGGAUGACGGCCUUCGGGUUGUAAACCUCUUUCAGCACCGACGAAGCGCAAGUGACGGUAGGUGCAGAAGAAGGACUGGCCAACUACGUGCCAGCAGCCGCAGUAA